RNAcentral lists this ribosomal RNA (494 nucleotides) under uncultured bacterium. Its description in RNAcentral is "partial 16S ribosomal RNA". It matches the Rfam family "Bacterial small subunit ribosomal RNA", at positions 30 to 507 of the family's 1533-position model. The record is from RNAcentral.
AUUGAACGCUGGCGGCAUGCUUUACACAUGCAAGUCGAACGGCAGCGGGGAGGAGCUUGCUUCUCUGCCGGCGAGUGGCGAACGGGUGAGUAAUACAUCGGAACGUGUCGAGAAGAGGGGGAUAACCACCCGAAAGGGUGGCUAAUACCGCAUAAAUUCUGAGGAAGAAAGCUGGGGACCUAGGAAUAGGCCUAGCGCUUUUUGAGCGGCCGAUGUCGGAUUAGCUAGUUGGUGAGGUAAAGGCUCACCAAGGCGAAGAUCUGUAGCGGGUCUGAGAGGAUGAUCCGCCACACUGGGACUGAGACACGGCCCAGACUCCUACGGGAGGCAGCAGUGGGGAAUUUUGGACAAUGGGGGCAACCCUGAUCCAGCCAUGCCGCGUGUAUGAAGAAGGCCUUAGGGUUGUGAAGUACUUUUGUUAGGGAAGAAAAGUCAGCUGUGAAUAAUGGCUGAUACUGACGGUACCUAAAGAAUAAGCACCGGCUAACUACGUG